This 358-nucleotide unclassified non-coding RNA is filed under the name soil metagenome. Its description in RNAcentral is "partial contains 5.8S ribosomal RNA, internal transcribed spacer 2, and large subunit ribosomal RNA". The stretch from base 1 to 120 matches the Rfam family "5.8S ribosomal RNA", at positions 35 to 154 of the family's 154-position model. The record is from RNAcentral.
GAUGAAGAACGUAGCGAAAUGCGAUAAGUAACGUGAAUUGCAGAAUUCAGUGAAUCAUCGAAUCUUUGAACGCACAUUGCGCCCGUCAGUAUUCUGGCGGGCAUGCCUGUUCGAGCGUCAUUACGCCCCUCAAGUCCCCUGUGGACUUGGUGUUGGGGAUCGGCGAGGCUGGUUUUCCAGCACAGCCGUCCCUUAAAUUAAUUGGCGGUCUCGCCGUGGCCCUCCUCUGCGCAGUAGUAAAACACUCGCAACAGGAGCCCGGCGCGGUCCACUGCCGUAAAACCCCCCAACUUUUUAUAGUUGACCUCGAAUCAGGUAGGACUACCCGCUGAACUUAAGCAUAUCAAUAAGCGGAGGA